AUGAGUCGGUGAGCGAGUCACGGGAGAAUAUCCUGAGGAAACUCCUCUCUCCAAGCAGAAGCGUGGCGCCACGAGGCGCGGUGGGAGACUGUCGGCAACAGAACAGAAACGAACCCAACUCAAUUAAACAAUGAAGAGGUAUCUCGGAGGUUCCUGAGAAGGGAUGAAACGGCUGACCCGCGUGGAGUAAGGCCAAACAGAAGCCUAUGAAAUCUGCAUGAGGCUCGGGUAGGCCGCUUAGCGAAAUCUCGCUUAAAACAGAAAGAGGGUUAAGUGUUGUUGGAU
Molecule: RNase P RNA, 285 nt
Filed under: Nitrososphaerales archaeon
Lineage: Archaea; Thermoproteati; Nitrososphaerota; Nitrososphaeria; Nitrososphaerales
Description: RNase P RNA component
Rfam family: Archaeal RNase P
About the family: Ribonuclease P (RNase P) is a ubiquitous endoribonuclease, found in archaea, bacteria and eukarya as well as chloroplasts and mitochondria.
Source: RNAcentral